This 484-nucleotide ribosomal RNA is filed under the name uncultured bacterium. Its description in RNAcentral is "partial 16S ribosomal RNA". It matches the Rfam family "Bacterial small subunit ribosomal RNA", at positions 30 to 507 of the family's 1533-position model. The record is from RNAcentral.
AUUGAACGCUGGCGGCAGGCCUAACACAUGCAAGUCGAGCGGAUGAAGGGAGCUUGCUCCUGGAUUCAGCGGCGGACGGGUGAGUAAUGCCUAGGAAUCUGCCUGGUAGUGGGGGAUAACGUCCGGAAACGGGCGCUAAUACCGCAUACGUCCUGAGGGAGAAAGUGGGGGAUCUUCGGACCUCACGCUAUCAGAUGAGCCUAGGUCGGAUUAGCUAGUUGGUGGGGUAAAGGCCUACCAAGGCGACGAUCCGUAACUGGUCUGAGAGGAUGAUCAGUCACACUGGAAGUGAGACACGGUCCAGACUCCUACGGGAGGCAGCAGUGGGGAAUAUUGGACAAUGGGCGAAAGCCUGAUCCAGCCAUGCAGCGUGUGUGAAGAAGGUCUUCGGAUUGUAAAGCACUUUAAGUUGGGAGGAAGGGCAGUAAGUUAAUACCUUGCUGUUUUGACGUUACCAACAGAAUAAGCACCGGCUAACUUCGUG